UACAGAGGGUGCGAGCGUUAAUCGGAAUUACUGGGCGUAAAGCGCGCGUAGGCGGCUUUGCAAGUCGGGUGUGAAAUCCCCAGGCUUAACCUGGGAACUGCAUUCGAGACUGCAUUGCUAGAGUAUGGGAGAGGGAAGUGGAAUUUCCGGUGUAGCGGUGAAAUGCGUAGAUAUCGGAAGGAACAUCAGUGGCGAAGGCGACUUCCUGGACCAAUACUGACGCUCAGGUGCGAAAGCGUGGGGAGCAAACAGG
RNAcentral lists this ribosomal RNA (253 nucleotides) under uncultured bacterium. RNAcentral describes it as "partial 16S ribosomal RNA". It matches the Rfam family "Bacterial small subunit ribosomal RNA", at positions 524 to 776 of the family's 1533-position model. The record is from RNAcentral.